GAACCUAUCUCCAUGCUGUGAGAAGUUUCACCUGCUUCUUUCCCUCUUCUUCUUCAGAUCAAGCUGCUGACAUAGUAGCAAGCUGGAUGCCAUAUGUCUUGGUAACAGAACCACUGAGCAUCUCUGGACAUUGGAUUGAUAGCUCCACCCCGUGAAGAUUUUCAAGCAUCUUGGUAAUGAUUACUAAGGAUGCUGGAACACCAAAUAUUGCUGUAGUCUUCAUUUGCCAGUGAGCAUGAAAAGCACUCUAAAAAUGUUUUGAAUGUCCACCAUAUUCUCUUGAGGGGAGAAUGACAGGCUUUGGAUGGACUUCAUAAAAUCCUGCUCUUACUCAAGAAUACACUUUGAAGAUUUUGCAAGAAUAUAAGAACAUGAGAUCAUGGAACAUGAGACCCAUAAGUUCUUUUAGAGUGGCCCUUCCUGUGCAUCUGGGCCGGUCUCUUCAGAGCAGCCAGCUGGCCUCUGGGUGCUCCCAAACAGGAGGGCUUCCACCUGUUGCUUGGAUACCAGGAAGAGGCAGGUAGAGCAUGUGAGCUGCCAUUGGUGGCCCCUGGGUAAAAAAGCUCCGGGCAGGCAGCCCUCUUAGCAACCUCUGUUUUUGCUUCCUCUUGGCUCAAGCCCAGGGCAGCAUCACUGGAAUCUCUGUAACAUGUCAGCCCCCAAAGCCAAUAGCAGGACAGAGAGGUAUGUUAACACCAGAAAGAGACCCCACAGAAUCCAUUACCUGCAACUGGUACUAAGGAAAGGCAAGUGAAUUUGGGAAGCUCUUCAAUCAAUCUUUAUUAUUACAGUCUCAGACCAGCAUAAGGGAAGUUGCUGUUAAGUCCUACCUCUACUUACUGGGCAGACAAAUGGAGCACCUUGGAAAAAGAUUGGUUUUGAAAGGGACAUAAAUCAUCCCACCACCAACACCACCAUCAUCUGGUAUUCAGAUGUAAACUGCAUCCAUACAAAUUCAGAAAACGCCCUUGGCUGUCGCUUGCUUCAGUGACAGCAGGUUGGGAGCACGCGAAGGAACAGAUUUGGAACAGAUCAAGCUCAACAUCCUUUUCAACCAGCUGUUUGUGGCUGCCCCCUGCUCUAUCAUUUGUUUUAAAAAAAGAACUUGCAAAGCUGCAAUUCUGGCUUUGCUUAGGCAGCAGGUUUUAGAUCGUUAGCAACGAGGGCCCUGGAGAUGGCUGGCUUCACGGACGACACUUUCAAACACAUUUACCUUUCUCUGCACACACAUGUCAGAUUAAUGAACGUCAUUGACGGGUUUCUCACACUGCCAAGCAAAGGAGAAUCACAGUUCAUCACAGAAGACGCCGGGCUGCUUAAGGGCAAAAUAAGUAUAAGAAAGAGAAAUGGAAAAAAUUAUUUGAAAGGAGGAUGAAAACCCGUCUCAGAAGAGUCCAAUUAUUCUUCAAGUUGGAAUCUACUGGACAGAUAAACAAAAGGCAUUUUGUGUUACAGAAGUGGGCAAAGACCCUACAAGUAAUUAAGCGGCAGUUGGGUGUGGCGGCAUGCAGAUGUGUAUGAGACCAGCAUGGGUUCAGAGAGAGAGAAAAUGUGAUUUGCAGGGAUCAGAUAAACAAUGCUGGAAGUUUCAGUUCUGGGUCCCAUGGACAUGGGAAGCUGAAGGCAGGACUGGAGCUGAAGCUGGAUGGAGCCCUGGAGCAGAUCCACAGAAGGGUCAGUCCUGAAGCAGAGCCUAUGCGCGUAACUAUGAGCGGGCAAGGGGAGGCAGUUGUCUGGGGGCCCCACUGCCUGGAGGGGCCCCCCAGAGGCACCUCACGUGACUGCCCAU
Hemicordylus capensis (graceful crag lizard) is the source of this 1789-nucleotide long non-coding RNA. RefSeq lists it as uncharacterized. The record is from RefSeq and is a predicted model, not a curated record. The transcript is spliced from 7 exons. Lineage: Eukaryota; Metazoa; Chordata; Lepidosauria; Squamata; Cordylidae.